RNAcentral lists this ribosomal RNA (274 nucleotides) under uncultured bacterium. RNAcentral describes it as "partial 16S ribosomal RNA". It matches the Rfam family "Bacterial small subunit ribosomal RNA", at positions 523 to 796 of the family's 1533-position model. The record is from RNAcentral.
AUACGGAGGGUGCAAGCGUUGUUCGAAAUUACUGGGCGUAAAGCGCACGCAGGUUGCAUGGUAAGUUCUAUGUGAAAGCCUUCGGCUCAACCGGAGACGGCCAUAGAAAACUGCCAAGCUAGAGUACGAGAGGGGAGAGCGGAAUUCCAAGUGUAGAGGUGAAAUUCGUAGAUAUUUGGAGGAACACCGGCGGCGAAAGCGGCUCUCUGGCUCGUUACUGACACUCAUGUGCGAAAGCGUGGGUAGCAAACAGGAUUAGAUACCCCUGUAGUCC